CCUACGGGGGGCAGCAGUGAGGAAUAUUGGUCAAUGGACGAGAGUCUGAACCAGCCAAGUAGCGUGAAGGAUGAAGGUCCUACGGAUUGUAAACUUCUUUUAUAAGGGAAUAAAACCUCCCACGUGUGGGAGCUUGUAUGUACCUUAUGAAUAAGCAUCGGCUAACUCCGUGCCAGCAGCCGCGGUAAUACGGAGGAUGCGAGCGUUAUCCGGAUUUAUUGGGUUUAAAGGGAGCGCAGACGGGUCGUUAAGUCAGCUGUGAAAGUUUGGGGCUCAACCUUAAAAUUGCAGUUGAUACUGGCGUCCUUGAGUGCGGUUGAGGUGUGCGGAAUUCGUGGUGUAGCGGUGAAAUGCUUAGAUAUCACGAAGAACUCCGAUUGCGAAGGCAGCACACUAAGCCGUAACUGACGUUCAUGCUCGAAAGUGUGGGUAUCAAA
Molecule: ribosomal RNA, 437 nt
Filed under: uncultured bacterium
Lineage: Bacteria
Description: bacterial SSU rRNA
Rfam family: Bacterial small subunit ribosomal RNA
Source: RNAcentral